GUGCCAGCAGCCGCGGUAAUACGGAGGGUGCAAGCGUUGUUCGGAAUUAUUGGGCGUAAAGCGCGCGCAGGCGGCUUAAGAAGUCCAUGGGUGAAAGGCCGGGGCUCAACCCCGAGUGUGCCCAGGAUACUCUUUGGCUGGAGACACGUAGAGGCAAGCGGAAUUUCGGGUGUAGCGGUGGAAUGCGUAGAUAUCCGAAAGAACACCGGAGGCGAAGGCGGCUUGCUGGGCGUGAUCUGACGCUGAGGCGCGAAAGCGUGGGGAGCGAACAGGAUUAGAUACCCUGGUAGUCC
RNAcentral lists this ribosomal RNA (293 nucleotides) under uncultured bacterium. Its description in RNAcentral is "partial 16S ribosomal RNA". It matches the Rfam family "Bacterial small subunit ribosomal RNA", at positions 505 to 796 of the family's 1533-position model. The record is from RNAcentral.